UAAUAACGACCGAGAGGAUGAUGGGUGGCCGAUGGAUAACUAACCUAUUUUUUAUCAUUUGAAAUUGCAUAUUUCAAAUCAUAUAACAUAGGAUUAGUCUGCCCAUUUUCUUUUAACUGUAAAGCUAUUAACAAUAGCUUAUUAGAGUAUGCAAAACGCGGCUAAUCCUUCCAAAAUAUUGGGAGGAUUUUUUU
This 194-nucleotide small RNA is filed under the name Bacillus sp. MUM 13. RNAcentral's name for it is "Bacillus sRNA ncr1575". It matches the Rfam family "Bacillus sRNA ncr1575". Lineage: Bacteria; Bacillati; Bacillota; Bacilli; Caryophanales; Bacillaceae. The record is from Rfam by way of RNAcentral.